CCUACGGGGGACAGCAGUGGGGGAUAUUGCACAAUGGGGGGAACCCUGAUGCAGCGACGCCGCGUGUGGGAAGACGGUCCUCUGGAUUGUAAACCACUGUCCCCAGGGACGAAAAUGACGGUACCUGGGGAGGAAGCUCCGGCUAACUACGUGCCAGAAGCCGCGGUAAUACGUAGGGAGCGAGCGUUGUCCGGAAUUACUGGGUGUAAAGGGAGCGUAGGCGGGGAUGCAAGGUGGGUGUCAAUACUACCGGCUCAACUGGUAGUCGCACUCAAAACUGCAGCGUUUGAGUGAAGUAGAGGCAGGCGGAAUUCCUAGUGUAGGGGGGGAAUGCGUAGAUAGUAGGAGGAACACCAGUGGCGAAGGCGGACUGCUGGGCUUUUACUGACGCUGAGGCUCGAAAGUGUGGGGAGCAAACAGGAUUAGAUACCCCUGUAGUC
This 440-nucleotide ribosomal RNA is filed under the name uncultured bacterium. RNAcentral describes it as "partial 16S ribosomal RNA". It matches the Rfam family "Bacterial small subunit ribosomal RNA", at positions 338 to 795 of the family's 1533-position model. The record is from RNAcentral.